RNAcentral lists this ribosomal RNA (460 nucleotides) under uncultured bacterium. Its description in RNAcentral is "partial 16S ribosomal RNA". It matches the Rfam family "Bacterial small subunit ribosomal RNA", at positions 338 to 795 of the family's 1533-position model. The record is from RNAcentral.
CCUACGGGUGGCUGCAGUGAGGAAUAUUGGUCAAUGGGCGCGAGCCUGAACCAGCCAAGUAGCGUGAAGGAUGACUGCCCUAGGGGUUGUAAACUCCUUUUAUAAAGGAAUAAAGUGAGGCACGUGUUCCUUUUUGUAUGUACUUUAUGAAUAAGGAUCGGCUAACGCCGUGCCAGCAGCCGCGGUAAUACGGAGGAUCCGAGCGUUAUCCGGAUUUAUUGGGUUUAAAGGGAGCGUAGAUGGGUUGUUAAGUCAGUUGUGAAAGUUUGCGGCUCAACCGUAAAAUUGCAAUUGAUACUGGCAGUCUUGAGUACAGUAGAGGUAGGCGGAAUUCGUGGUGUAGCGGUGAAAUGCGUAGAUAUCACGAAGAACACCGAUAGCGAAGGCAGCUUACUAGACUGCCACUGACAUUGAUGCUCGAAAGUGUGGGGAGCAAACAGGAUUAGAUACCCUGGUAGUC